RNAcentral lists this ribosomal RNA (253 nucleotides) under uncultured bacterium. RNAcentral's name for it is "partial 16S ribosomal RNA". It matches the Rfam family "Bacterial small subunit ribosomal RNA", at positions 524 to 776 of the family's 1533-position model. The record is from RNAcentral.
UACGUAGGGGGCUAGCGUUGUCCGGAAUCAUUGGGCGUAAAGCGCGUGUAGGCUGCCUUGUAAGUCGGAUGUGAAAGCCCCGGGCUCAACCCGGGAAGUGCACCCGAUACUACAAGGCUGGAGUCUCGGAGAGGUUGGUGGAAUUCUCGGUGUAGAGGUGAAAUUCGUAGAUAUCGAGAGGAACACCAGUGGCGAAGGCGGCGAUCUGGGUUGAUACUGACGCUGAGGUGCGAAAGCGUGGGGAGCAAACAGG